RNAcentral lists this ribosomal RNA (1041 nucleotides) under Triticum aestivum (bread wheat). Its description in RNAcentral is "partial small subunit ribosomal RNA". The record is from RNAcentral. Lineage: Eukaryota; Viridiplantae; Streptophyta; Magnoliopsida; Poales; Poaceae.
AUGGCAAGCGCCCGCACGAACCUCACCGACGUUGUGCGCUCGGUGCAACUGCUCAGGGUGAACGGCUACUGCAUGACCAAGACCAUGGACAGCCUCGAGGGCAGCAUCAAAUCCAGGUGGAACGUCUACGGGUACGACUGGGAGAUCCGCCUGUAUUCCGCAGGGCUGCCAGGCCACCAUUCCAUGUACCUGUCAUGGAUAGCGGCGGAGCUCUUCUUCCUUGGCGAAGCCCGCACGCGCAACGUGAAGGCCACUCUCGGCUGUCGCCUGGUGGAUCCGAGGGGAAAGCUUAAACCAUCCGAAGAAAGGAGGCACAGUGGCAAAUUCAAGAAUCCGCAGGACACCUCGCAUCCAAUUUUGCUCAUUGAAAAAAGCGAUCUAGAAAGAUCGGCCUAUCUCAGAGACGAUUCGUUCACCGUGCAGUGCACCAUCACGGUGCUUAAGGAAAUACCCGAUCUGCCUGCGACGAUCUCUGUUAGGGGAAUAAUGGAGGUGCCAUCGUCCAACUUGCACGAGCACCUCGCCGAGCUCCUGAGGAGCGGGACCGGAGCGGACGUCACGUUCCUUGUCGCCGGCGAGUCCUUCGCCGCGCACAAGGCCAUACUCGCUGCAAGGUCCCCUGUGCUCAUGGCCGAGUUCUUCGGGCAAAUGAAGGAGAGGAGCUCUCAUGACGCCGAGGUCAAGGACAUGGAGGCGGCCGUCUUCAAGGUGCCGGAACUUGCUGACGAGACGACGGAGACGGUGACGGUUAUGACUCAGCAUCUGCUUGCUGCUGCUGACAGGUACGGGCUUGACAGGCUCAAGCUGAUUUGUGAAGAUAGGCUCUCUGGCGGCAUCAGCGUCGACACGGCGGCGACGACUCUGGCUCUCGCGGAGCAGCAUGACUGCUCCCUGCUCAAGAAGUGCUUGGAGUUUAUAGUCAGAACUCCGGCGACUCUUGAUGCUGUCAUGGCGACGGAUGGGUAUCAACACCUAGAGGCAAGCUGCCCCUUGGUGCUGCGCGAGCUACUCAAGUCCGCCCGUGGCAGAAAGCGUAGCUAG